RNAcentral lists this ribosomal RNA (208 nucleotides) under uncultured bacterium. Its description in RNAcentral is "partial 16S ribosomal RNA". It matches the Rfam family "Bacterial small subunit ribosomal RNA", at positions 568 to 774 of the family's 1533-position model. The record is from RNAcentral.
CUCGUAGGCAGUUCAACAAGUCGGUCGUGAAAGCCCGGGGCUCAACCCCGGGACGCCGGUCGAAACUGUUGUGACUAGGGUCCGGUAGAGGUGAGUGGAAUUCUCGGUGUAGCGGUGGAAUGCGCAGAUAUCGAGAGGAACACCAGUAGCGAAGGCGGCUCACUGGGCCGGUACCGACGCUGAGGAGCGAAAGCAUGGGGAGCAAACA